GCUCACCAGCAGCGAUCGUAGCUGUCUGAGAGGAUGAUCAUCACAUCGGGACUGAGACACGGCCGAAUUCUACGGGAGGCAGCAGUGGGAAUAUUGGACAAUGGGGCAACCCUGAUCCAGCCAUGCCGCGUGUGUGAAGAAGGCCCUCGGGUUGUAAAGCACUUUCAGCGAGGAAGAACGCCUAGUGGUUAAUACCCAUUAGGAAAGACAUCACUCGCAGAAGAAGCACCGGCUAACUCCGUGCCAGCAGCCGCGGUAAUACGGAGGGUGCAAGCGUUAAUCGGAAUUACUGGGCGUAAAGCGCGCGUAGGUGGCUUGAUAAGCCGGUUGUGAAAGCCCCGGGCUCAACCUGGGAACGGCAUCCGGAACUGUCAGGCUAGAGUGCAGGAGAGGAAGGUAGAAUUCCCGGUGUAGCGGUGAAAUGCGUAGAGAUCGGGAGGAAUACCAGUGGCGAAGGCGGCCUUCUGGACUGACACUGACACUGAGGUGCGAAAGCGUGGGUAGCAAACAGGAUUAGAUACCCUGGUAGUCCACGCCGUAAACGAUGUCGACCAGCCGUUGGGUGCCUAGCGCACUUUGUGGCGAAGUUAACGCGAUAAGUCGACCGCCUGGGGAGUACGGCCGCAAGGUUAAAACUCAAAUGAAUUGACGGGGGCCCGCACAAGCGGUGGAGCAUGUGGUUUAAUUCGAUGCAACGCGAAGAACCUUACCUACCCUUGACAUCGACAGAAGCCGAGAGAGAUCUUGGUGUGCCUUCGGGAACUGUCAGACAGGUGCUGCAUGGCUGUCGUCAGCUCGUGUUGUGAAAUGUUGGGUUAAGUCCCGUAACGAGCGCAACCCUUGUCCUUAUUUGCCAGCACGUAAUGGUGGGAACUCUAAGGAGACUGCCGGUGACAAACCGGAGGAAGGUGGGGACGACGUCAAGUCAUCAUGGCCCUUACGGGUAGGGCUACACACGUGCUACAAUGGCCGGUACAAAGGGCAGCGAGCUCGCGAGAGUCAGCGAAUCCCUUAAAGCCGGUCUCAGUCCGGAUCGGAGUCUGCAACUCGACUCCGUGAAGUCGGAAUCGCUAGUAAUCGGAAUCAGAAGC
This 1091-nucleotide ribosomal RNA is filed under the name uncultured bacterium. Its description in RNAcentral is "bacterial SSU rRNA". It matches the Rfam family "Bacterial small subunit ribosomal RNA", at positions 263 to 1356 of the family's 1533-position model. The record is from RNAcentral.